RNAcentral lists this ribosomal RNA (334 nucleotides) under uncultured bacterium. Its description in RNAcentral is "bacterial SSU rRNA". It matches the Rfam family "Bacterial small subunit ribosomal RNA", at positions 28 to 334 of the family's 1533-position model. The record is from RNAcentral.
GAUGAACGCUGGCGGCGUGCUUAACACAUGCAAGUCGAACGGAGAUGCCAUUUUCGAGGUAAUUAGUUUACUAAGAGCCAAGAUGUUGGCAUCUUAGUGGCGGACGGGUGAGUAACGCGUGGGUAACCUGCCUUACACUGGGGGAUAACACUUAGAAAUAGGUGCUAAUACCGCAUAACAGAGGGAGUCGCAUGACUUCGUCUUAAAAACUCCGGUGGUGUAAGAUGGACCCGCGUCUGAUUAGCUGGUUGGCGGGGUAGCGGCCCACCAAGGCGACGAUCAGUAGCCGGCCUGAGAGGGUGAACGGCCACAUUGGGACUGAGACACGGCCCAA